RNAcentral lists this ribosomal RNA (465 nucleotides) under Vreelandella stevensii. RNAcentral describes it as "partial 16S ribosomal RNA". It matches the Rfam family "Bacterial small subunit ribosomal RNA", at positions 338 to 795 of the family's 1533-position model. The record is from RNAcentral. Lineage: Bacteria; Pseudomonadati; Pseudomonadota; Gammaproteobacteria; Oceanospirillales; Halomonadaceae.
CCUACGGGCGGCAGCAGUGGGGAAUAUUGGACAAUGGGCGAAAGCCUGAUCCAGCCAUGCCGCGUGUGUGAAGAAGGCCUUCGGGUUGUAAAGCACUUUCAGUGGGGAAGAAAGCCUUGGGGCUAAUACCCUCGAGGAAGGACAUCACCCACAGAAGAAGCACCGGCUAACUCCGUGCCAGCAGCCGCGGUAAUACGGAGGGUGCGAGCGUUAAUCGGAAUUACUGGGCGUAAAGCGCGCGUAGGCGGUCUGAUAAGCCGGUUGUGAAAGCCCCGGGCUCAACCUGGGAACGGCAUCCGGAACUGUCAGGCUAGAGUGCAGGGGAGGAAGGUAGAAUUCCCGGUGUAGCGGUGAAAUGCGUAGAGAUCGGGAGGAAUACCAGUGGCGAAGGCGGCCUUAUGGACUGACACUGACGCUGAGGUGCGAAAGCGUGGGUAGCAAACAGGAUUAGAUACCCCAGUAGUC